UGGGGAAUAUUGGGCAAUGGAGGGAACUCUGACCCAGCCAUGCCGCGUGCAGGAUGAAGGCGUUAUGCGUUGUAAACUGCUUUUAUAUAGGAAGAAAUAGUCCUUGCGAGGAAAGUUGACGGUACUAUAUGAAUAAGCACCGGCUAACUCCGUGCCAGCAGCCGCGGUAAUACGGAGGGUGCAAGCGUUGUCCGGAUUUAUUGGGUUUAAAGGGUGCGUAGGCGGUUUAUUAAGUCAGUGGUGAAAGACGGUCGCUCAACGAUUGCAGUGCCAUUGAUACUGGUAGACUUGAGUAUGAUUGAGGUAGCUGGAAUGGAUAGUGUAGCGGUGAAAUGCAUAGAUAUUAUCCAGAACACCAAUUGCGUAGGCAAGUUACUAAGUCAUAACUGACGCUGAGGCACGAAAGUGUGGGUAUCAAACAGGAUUAGAUACCCAGGUAGUCCCUGAGCGGGCUGGCAAGGCGCAU
Molecule: ribosomal RNA, 466 nt
Filed under: uncultured bacterium
Lineage: Bacteria
Description: bacterial SSU rRNA
Rfam family: Bacterial small subunit ribosomal RNA
Source: RNAcentral